GUCCACACAGUAACGAUGAAUACUCGCUGUUUGCGAUAUACAGUAAGCGGCCAAGCGAAAGCAUUAAGUAUUCCACCUGGGAGUACGCCGGCAACGGUGAAACUCAAAGGAAUUGACGGGGCCCGCACAAGCGGAGGAACAUGUGGUUUAAUUCGAUGAUACGCGAGGAACCUUACCCGGGCUUAAAUUGCAAAUGAAUUAUGGGGAAACCCAUACGCCGCAAAGGCAUUUGUGAAGGUGCUGCAUGGUUGUCGU
Molecule: ribosomal RNA, 255 nt
Filed under: uncultured bacterium
Lineage: Bacteria
Description: partial 16S ribosomal RNA
Rfam family: Bacterial small subunit ribosomal RNA
Source: RNAcentral